CUGGGGUUGUGGCUCAGUGGUUGAGCAAAUGCCUCACAUGCUUGAGGCGCUGGGUUCUAUCCUCACACCACAUA
Molecule: transfer RNA, 74 nt
Filed under: Marmota monax (woodchuck)
Lineage: Eukaryota; Metazoa; Chordata; Mammalia; Rodentia; Sciuridae
Description: tRNA.Val
Source: RNAcentral